RNAcentral lists this ribosomal RNA (1065 nucleotides) under fungal sp. F321. RNAcentral's name for it is "eukaryotic LSU rRNA". The stretch from base 531 to 1065 matches the Rfam family "Eukaryotic large subunit ribosomal RNA", at positions 1 to 545 of the family's 3401-position model. The record is from RNAcentral. Lineage: Eukaryota; Fungi.
GAUCAUUACGAAAAGAGUAUUCCGUACUCGUAAACCCAUUGUGAACAUACCAAUCGUCAGUUUCUUCGGCGGGAGGCCCCUGGGAGGGGCCCCGGGGCCCGGCCUGAGCCGGGCUCCCGCCGGAGGGGCGCAACCGAAAACUCUUUGCUGUACCCCCAGUGGCAACUCCGAGUUAAAAAUACAAAACAAGUUAAAACUUUCAACAACGGAUCUCUUGGUUCUGGCAUCGAUGAAGAACGCAGCGAAAUGCGAUAAGUAAUGUGAAUUGCAGAAUUCAGUGAAUCAUCGAAUCUUUGAACGCACAUUGCGCCCGCCAGCAUUCUGGCGGGCAUGCCUGUUCGAGCGUCAUUUCAACCCCUCAGGCCCCAGUGCCUGGCGUCGGGGCCCUCCCUCGCCGGGAGGCCCUCAGAGACAGUGGCGGACCCCCCGCGGCUCCGAGCGCAGUAGCAUUAUAUUCUCGCUCUGGAGGCCCGCGGGGCGGCCCCGGCCGUAAAAGGCAGGGCUUAACACCCCUACUACACACCAAAGGUUGACCUCGGAUCAGGUAGGAGUACCCGCUGAACUUAAGCAUAUCAAUAAGCGGAGGAAAAUAAACCAACAGGGAUUGCCCCAGUAACGGCGAGUGAAGCGGCAACAGCUCAGAUCUGAAAUCUGGCCCCCAGGGCCCGAGUUGUAAUCUGUAGAGGAUGCUUCUGGCAAGGCGCCGCCCGAGUUCCCUGGAACGGGACGCCGGAGAGGGUGAGAGCCCAGUACAGGCGGACGCCGAGCCUCUGUGAAGCUCCUUCGACGAGUCGAGUAGUUUGGGAAUGCUGCUCAAAGCGGGAGGUAAAUUUCUUCUAAAGCUAAAUACCGGCCAGAGACCGAUAGCGCACAAGUAGAGUGAUCGAAAGAUGAAAAGCACUUUGAAAAGAGGGUUAAAAAGCACGUGAAAUUGUUGAAAGGGAAGCGCCUGUGACCAGACUCGCGCCCGGCGGAUCACCCGGCGUUCUCGCCGGUGCAUUGCGCCGGGCUCGGGCCAGCAUCGGUUCUGGCAGGGGGAUAAAGGCGGCGGGGAUGUGGCUCCCC